AUACAUUCUUCUUUCUCAAUUUCUUUGGAAGACAAACGGUUCAUCAAGAGAGGAAAAGAACCGUGAAGGUCACAAUGAAGCUCUACCUCGAUUUUUCGUCAUUUCAUUGAUUCGAAUGCGUAAACCUUUAUAAACAUUUAAGUAAAGCGAGAGGUUUCUCGGCGAUAGCCGAAAUGGAAGAAAAAGGGAUCCGGAGUGACUGGAACAUUAAGAUGGAAAAGGGGCUUAUGCUCAUAAGCCUGUAAGGUAGCAUGCCCAGGACUUAAAUAGCCUAAUUCUCUUAUGUGCUUUAAUGUGAUUUUUAUAUGACAUAUAGCUUGGUAAAUUAUGAUUAAUUAUGUGAUAAAAGACUUAUGAGGUAAAAUAUGAAAGUAAGAUGAAUUAUUGAAUGAUUUGGCAAUGAAGUAUGAAAAAGGAAGAAUAUGAUUGUGACUGUAAAGAUGGUGAGAUGCAUACAAAUAAGAUUUACACGUAAAGUAUGUCUGAUCGAUCUGUGAUGACGUCUGAUCUGUCUGUACGGAUGUGUUAUGUUGGAAAUCGUUGAUAAUAAAGUAUACUUGUAUGUGCUUAUGCCCCAUGCUUGAGUGUAUUCUGUGGGUACAAUUGGCAUGCCAUAGGACAGCAGCGCUGCAUUAUGUGUGAUCACUUGUCUUUUGGAUAACCGAAGCGAGGAUCGUCUGUUAUCUGAUGGGCUCCUAUCUGAUCUGUCUGAUAUGCACCCUUAUGGGUGGUCUGAUCAUCUGACCGAUAUGCACCCUCAUGGGUGAUCUGAUUAACUGUCUGCACACUAAAUGGAUGGUCUGUGCGGAGUUCUCUGAAGGACAAAAUCCGCAUCUGUGUCUGAUUAUCUGAUUCUGAUUCUGAUUCUGAUAUGGUCCGUGUACCCUAGUCUGUCACUAAGCACAUUAAUGGGCCAUAUGUGAAAGUUAUGUGAAAGUGUCGAUCAAAAUAUUCGUGAUGAUAUAUGUGACAAUACGUGUAUGAUAAUAUAUAAGUUAUAAUAUGAGAUUAGGUGAAACAUCUGUUAUAUUAUACGUGAAAAUGGAUUAUGUUACAUGGUUCUGUUGAAUUUUGAUAUAAAUAUUGAGAAUCAGAGACUUGCAGACAUAGUUUAUGACAUAUGGGAAUUCUUGUAUUAUUAUACCCUUCUGAUGACAUAGUUGGAAAUUUGAAGUUGUAAAUGAAGAUUUGUCUACUGGUACAGGUAUGUUGAUACGUGUAAUGACGUCUGUGAUUUGUCUA
Long non-coding RNA from Salvia splendens (bonfire salvia), 1242 nucleotides. RefSeq lists it as uncharacterized. The record is from RefSeq and is a predicted model, not a curated record. The transcript is spliced from 2 exons. Lineage: Eukaryota; Viridiplantae; Streptophyta; Magnoliopsida; Lamiales; Lamiaceae.